Molecule: ribosomal RNA, 486 nt
Filed under: uncultured bacterium
Lineage: Bacteria
Description: bacterial SSU rRNA
Rfam family: Bacterial small subunit ribosomal RNA
Source: RNAcentral
GACGACGCUGGCGGCGUGGAUUAGGCAUGCAAGUCGAACGGUAUCAUCCUUUCGGGGGUGAGAGAGUGGCGAACUGGUGAGUAACACGUAGGUUAUCUACCCUCAAGACGGGGACAACCCAGGGAAACUUGGGCUAAUACCGGAUGUGAGCAACUUUUAGUUGUUUGAAAGGUGGCGUAAGCUGUCGCUUGGGGAUGAGCCUGCGUCCUAUUAGUUAGUUGGUGAGGUAACGGCUCACCUAGGCAAUGAUAGGUAGGCGGCCUUAACGGGUGGUCGCCCACACUGGGAUUGAGAUACGGCCCAGACUCCUACGGGAGGCAGCAGUCGAGAAUAGUCUACAAUGGUCGGAAGACUGAUAGUGCGACGCCGCGUGAACGAUGAAUCCCUUCGGGGCGUAAAGUUCUUUUAUAUGUGAGCAGUGCUUCUUAUAUUAACAGUAUGGGGAGAGAGAUAUUAGCAUAUGAAUAAGCAACGGCUAACUCCGUG